This 300-nucleotide unclassified non-coding RNA is filed under the name uncultured Pleosporales. Its description in RNAcentral is "sequence contains ITS1". The stretch from base 1 to 105 matches the Rfam family "5.8S ribosomal RNA", at positions 50 to 154 of the family's 154-position model. The record is from RNAcentral. Lineage: Eukaryota; Fungi; Ascomycota; Dothideomycetes; Pleosporales.
GAAAUACGAUAAGGAGUGUGAAUUGCAGGAUUCAGUGAAUCAUCGAAUCUUUGAACGCACAUUGCGCCCCUUGGUAUUCCAUGGGGCAUGACUGUUCGAGCGUCAUUUGUACCCUCAAGCUUUUCUUGGUGUUGGGCGUCUUGUGCUAUUCUGGAGGACUAGCCUCAAAACAAUUGGCAGCCGGCAUAUUGGUAUCGGAGCGCAGCACAAGUCGCACUUUGUUCCAUGAAUGUUGGCAUCCAUCAAGACCAGUUUUUCACUCUUGACCUCGGAUCAGGUAGGGAUACCCGCUGAACUUAA